This 549-nucleotide long non-coding RNA is filed under the name Coturnix japonica (Japanese quail). RNAcentral's name for it is "lncRNA (ENSCJPG00005018330.1)". Lineage: Eukaryota; Metazoa; Chordata; Aves; Galliformes; Phasianidae. The record is from RNAcentral.
GUUGUCUGUGCUCCUCUCAAGAUAUAGUUCAAGUAUAAUUUAGUGUUUGUAACCAAAUCUGAUUAUUUUCAGAGGCGAAAGGCAACUGAAGUCUGAAUGUGGUCCUGUGGGAUGAAACCUUGGAGCCCUUCAGGCUGCUUGAAGUUUGUUCAUUGAUCUAACUGGAGACUUCUACUUAUGUGUUUUCAGAAGAAUGAGUUCUUCAGCAAGCUUGUAGAAGUGAAGCAGCCAAUACACUUCAGCAAGACAGAGGAGAAUGUCUUUUCUUCACCCCUCAGGGAAAAGGCUGGUGUUCAUCUGGAUCUCACCCUGCUGUGGGCGGCUGGGCUGUGCAUAGCUAUCCUGUCCUCAAACCUAGAGACAUACCCUCUAUCUUGAAAGUUCUGCCAUCCAUUUGUGUGGAUUCAUGGGUAAGAUCAGGGUUUAAGAAGAUGGGCAACCAUACAGAAUGCUUAUUUGCUUAAGAAAAGAAAUGUGUUUAUAAAUGUUUAGCUAAUCAAUUACUAUGAUAUUACUGUGAUAUUAAUUAAAUUUCACAUAAUAAUAAUU